AACGAACGCUGGCGGCAUGCCUUACACAUGCAAGUCGAACGAACUCUUCGGAGUUAGUGGCGCACGGGUGCGUAACGCGUGGGAAUCUGCCCUUGGGUACGGAAUAACUCAGAGAAAUUUGUGCUAAUACCGUAUAAUGUCUUCGGACCAAAGAUUUAUCGCCCAAGGAUGAGCCCGCGUAAGAUUGGCUUGUUGGUGAG
This 200-nucleotide ribosomal RNA is filed under the name uncultured bacterium. Its description in RNAcentral is "partial 16S ribosomal RNA". It matches the Rfam family "Bacterial small subunit ribosomal RNA", at positions 29 to 256 of the family's 1533-position model. The record is from RNAcentral.